UUCCAUAUAAAUUAUUGUUGAUAGGCAAUAAUGUAACCUACCAAGACAUUGGGGGCAAUUAGUAAGUUGUUAGGGCGUAAUCCAGCAGUCUCUGGAUAAAGUCGCUUUUCUUUUCCCCUGGUCUCAUUUUGUUGUCUGAAUGCUGGGCCCAUGAGCUUAUUUCUUCUAGGUGAUUUACUGCCCUAGUCAUUCUAUAUGAUAAUUCAAAAGAUAAGGCGGCAUAGCAUAACCUUUUCCUUGGUGGGGAUUUGUUUUCCAAGCACGCUGUAAAUAUAUAUCAUGACAGAUGUUUCACAAAGUCAGUUACAAGAUCAGUAUCUGCAGGAGGUUCUUUCCACUGUAGAAAGCAAGCAAGCAAGGGGCAGUUUUGGUAGAGGAUGUGCUACCAAUUUAUCAAAGCUUGGAGGCUCUGCUCGUUCUGCAGCUGAGAAGAAUGGAUAUGACUUGUUCUGGCUAUUAGUAUCUUCCCAAUGUUGGAGGAGGAGACCAGUCAGGAAAAGCUGCCAUAAACUGGAGAGUCUUGGCCAAUUUGAAAGAUCAUUUGGUUGAGUUGAAAUAACUGAAUUUUGGGCUGUUAGAUCAAAGAAGAGUAACUCAAUGCAAUUCAUAACUGUUGCAAUGUUCUUUUUUAUUUUUUGACUUUAGUUUUUACUUUCUGAUGUACUAGGAUGGAGAUCUUCUCUUUGUAAAUUUGAUUUGGCUGCUGGAUCAAGUUUCAUUUGUAUCCAUACAAAGAAGAACACACUGGCCGGCUUGAUUGUCUCCAUUUAAGUCCAGUAUAUUGGAACCUAAGAAAGAGUACUUUUGUUUU
Long non-coding RNA from Carya illinoinensis, 811 nucleotides. RefSeq lists it as uncharacterized. NCBI's taxonomy places the organism in Eukaryota, Viridiplantae, Streptophyta, Magnoliopsida, Fagales, Juglandaceae. The record is from RefSeq and is a predicted model, not a curated record. The transcript has 2 exons.